AGGCUUACACAUGCAGUCGAGCGGAGAGAGGUAGCUUGCUACUGAUCUUAGCGGCGGACGGGUGAGUAAUGCUUAGGAAUCUGCCUAUUAGUGGGGGACAACAUUUCGAAAGGAAUGCUAAUACCGCAUACGUCCUACGGGAGAAAGCAGGGGAUCUUCGGACCUUGCGCUAAUAGAUGAGCCUAAGUCGGAUUAGCUAGUUGGUGGGGUAAAGGCCUACCAAGGCGACGAUCUGUAGCGGGUCUGAGAGGAUGAUCCGCCACACUGGGACUGAGACACGGCCCAGACUCCUACGGGAGGCAGCAGUGGGGAAUAUUGGACAAUGGGCGCAAGCCUGAUCCAGCCAUGCCGCGUGUGUGAAGAAGGCCUUAUGGUUGUAAAGCACUUUAAGCGAGGAGGAGGCUACUCUAGUUAAUACCUAGAGAUAGUGGACGUUACUCGCAGAAUAAGCACCGGCUAACUCUGUGCCAGCAGCCGCGGUAAUACAGAGGGUGCAAGCGUUAAUCGGAUUUACUGGGCGUAAAGCGCGCGUAGGCGGCUAAUUAAGUCAAAUGUGAAAUCCCCGAGCUUAACUUGGGAAUUGCAUUCGAUACUGGUUAGCUAGAGUGUGGGAGAGGAUGGUAGAAUUCCAGGUGUAGCGGUGAAAUGCGUAGAGAUCUGGAGGAAUACCGAUGGCGAAGGCAGCCAUCUGGCCUAACACUGACGCUGAGGUGCGAAAGCAUGGGGAGCAAACAGGAUUAGU
RNAcentral lists this ribosomal RNA (742 nucleotides) under Acinetobacter calcoaceticus. Its description in RNAcentral is "bacterial SSU rRNA". It matches the Rfam family "Bacterial small subunit ribosomal RNA", at positions 44 to 782 of the family's 1533-position model. Lineage: Bacteria; Pseudomonadati; Pseudomonadota; Gammaproteobacteria; Moraxellales; Moraxellaceae. The record is from RNAcentral.